Molecule: transfer RNA, 78 nt
Filed under: Halopseudomonas laoshanensis
Lineage: Bacteria; Pseudomonadati; Pseudomonadota; Gammaproteobacteria; Pseudomonadales; Pseudomonadaceae
Description: Pseudomonas sp. Y22 tRNA-Thr
Source: RNAcentral
ACCUGCAUCAGCUAGCUGACGGUUAUCGAUUGACUUGUAAUCAGUAGUUCCCGAGUUCGACUCUUGGUGCCGGCACCA